Molecule: ribosomal RNA, 170 nt
Filed under: uncultured rumen bacterium
Lineage: Bacteria
Description: partial 16S ribosomal RNA
Rfam family: Bacterial small subunit ribosomal RNA
Source: RNAcentral
CCUACGGGAGGCAGCAGUGGGGGAUAUUGCGCAAUGGGGGCAACCCUGACGCAGCAACGCCGCGUGAAGGACGAAGGUCUUCGGAUUGUAAACUUCUUUUGUCAGGGACGAAAUUUGACGGUACCUGACGAAUAAGCUCCGGCUAACUACGUGCCAGCAGCCGCGGUAAU